RNAcentral lists this ribosomal RNA (1405 nucleotides) under uncultured organism. RNAcentral describes it as "16S ribosomal RNA". It matches the Rfam family "Bacterial small subunit ribosomal RNA". The record is from RNAcentral.
CGCUGGCGGCGCGCCUAACACAUGCAAGUCGAACGGUACCCACCCUCGGGUGGAAGCGAGUGGCGAACGGCUGAGUAACACGUGGAGAACCUGCCCCCUCCCCCGGGAUAGCCGCCCGAAAGGACGGGUAAUACCGGAUACCCCGGGGUGCCGCAUGGCACCCCGGCUAAAGCCCCGACGGGAGGGGAUGGCUCCGCGGCCCAUCAGGUAGACGGCGGGGUGACGGCCCACCGUGCCGACAACGGGUAGCCGGGUUGAGAGACCGACCGGCCAGAUUGGGACUGAGACACGGCCCAGACUCCUACGGGAGGCAGCAGUGGGGAAUCUUGCGCAAUGGGGGGAACCCUGACGCAGCGACGCCGCGUGCGGGACGGAGGCCUUCGGGUCGUAAACCGCUUUCAGCAGGGAAGAGUCAAGACUGUACCUGCAGAAGAAGCCCCGGCUAACUACGUGCCAGCAGCCGCGGUAAUACGUAGGGGGCGAGCGUUAUCCGGAUUCAUUGGGCGUAAAGCGCGCGUAGGCGGCCCGGCAGGCCGGGGGUCGAAGCGGGGGGCUCAACCCCCCUAAGCCCCCGGAACCUCUGCGGUUUGGGUCCGGUAGGGGAGGGGGGAACACCCGGUGUAGCGGUGGAUGCGCAGAUUCGGGGUGAACCCCCGUGGGGAAGGCGGCCCUCUGGGCCGAGACCGACGUUGAGGCGCGAAAGCUGGGGGAGCGAACAGGAUUAGAUACCCUGGUAGUCCCAGCCGUAAACGAUGGACGCUAGGUGUGGGGGGGACGAUCCCCCCGUGCCGCAGCCAACGCAUUAAGCGUCCCGCCUGGGGAGUACGGCCGCAAGGCUAAAACUCAAAGGAAUUGACGGGGGCCCGCACAAGCAGCGGAGCAUGUGGCUUAAUUCGAAGCAACGCGAAGAACCUUACCAGGGCUUGACAUAUGGGUGAAGCGGGGGAGACCCCGUGGCCGAGAGGAGCCCAUACAGGUGGUGCAUGGCUGUCGUCAGCUCGUGUCGUGAGAUGUUGGGUUAAGUCCCGCAACGAGCGCAACCCCCGCCGCGUGUUGCCAUCGGGUGAUGCCGGGAACCCACGCGGGACCGCCGCCGUCAAGGCGGAGGAGGGCGGGGACGACGUCAAGUCAUCAUGCCCCUUAUGCCCUGGGCUGCACACGUGCUACAAUGGCCGGUACAGAGGGGUGCCACCCCGCGAGGGGGAGCGGAUCCCGGAAAGCCGGCCCCAGUUCGGAUUGGGGGCUGCAACCCGCCCCCAUGAAGUCGGAGUUGCUAGUAAUCGCGGAUCAGCAUGCCGCGGUGAAUGCGUUCCCGGGCCUUGUACACACCGCCCGUCACACCACCCGAGUCGUCUGCACCCGAAGUCGCCGGCCCAACCGAGAGGGGGGAGGCGCCGAAGGUGUG